UUGAAAAAAUAAUAGCUGAAAAAGAAUCUCAAAUUUGAGGAAAAACAUGGAAAUAUCUUUCAAGAGGCUCAAUACAUUCUAGACCAAACCCAAAGGGACCCACACUAAGACACAUUAAAAUGAAACUGGAAAGUGAGAGACAAAGAAUCUUGAAAGCAACAAGAGAUAAGCAACUUUUCAUGUACACAGGAUCCUAAAUAAGACUAUAGGAAGAUUUCUCCCCAGAAAACUUACAGGCCUUAAAGUGGUGGAACGAAAUAUUUAAAGUGCUGGAAAAAAAUUCCUGUCCACUGAAAAUUUGGUAGUUGGCAAAACUCCUUCAAGAAUGAGAACAAAUUAAGACAUUUCCAGAUAAACAAUAAUGGAAAGGGUGAAAUGCCAUUAUGUCUGCCUACAAGAAAUGCUAAACAAAGUUCUUCAAUUUGGAAUGAAAGGACACUAGACAGAAGCUCAAAACCAAAGAAAAUAUAAAGUUCCCCAGUAAAGGUGAACACAUCGACAAUUUAAAAACUGUUCCUGCUCUUUCCCAUCUUGCAAGAUGGUGGGUGAAAAAGUUGAGAAGCCGGAUACUAAAGAGAAGAAACCUGAAGCCAAGAAGGCUGAUGAUGGUGGCAAGGUGAAAAAGGGUAACCUCAAGGCUAAAAAGCCCAAGAAGGGGAAGCCCCAUUGUAGCCAGAAUGGGGGAAUUGGCAAGUAUUCCUGAUCUGCUAUGUAUUCCAGAAAGGCCAUGUAUAAGAGGAAGUACUCAGCUGCUAAAUCCAAGGUUGAAAAGAAAAAGAAGGAGAAGAUUCUUGCAACUGUUACAAAACCAGUUGGUAGUGACAAAAACGGUGGUACCCGGGUGGUUAAACUUCGCAAAAUGCCCAGAUAUUAUCUUACUGAAGAUGUGCCUCAAAAGCUGUUGAGCCAUGGCAAAGAAACACUUCAGCCAGCAUGUGAGAAAACUGUAACCCAGCAUUACCCCGGGACCAUUGUGAUCAUGUUCACUGGACGCCACAGGGGCGAGAGGGUGGUUUUCCUGAAGCAGCUGGCUAGUGGCUUGUUAUUUGUGACUGGAACUCUGGUCCUCAACCAAGAUCCUCUAUGAAGAACACACCAGAAAUCUGUUAUUGUCACCUCAACCAAAAUUGACAUGAGCAAUGUAAAAAUCCCAAAACAUCUUACUGAUGCUUACUUCAAGAAGAAGCAGCUGUGGCAGCCUAGACACCAGGAAGGUGAGAUCUUCAACACAGAAAAAGAGAAAUAUGAGAUUACAGAGCAGUGCAAGAUUGAUCAGAAAUCUGGGGACUCACAAAUUUUACCAAAAAUCAAAACUAUUCCUCAGCUCCAGGGCUACCUGUGAUUUGUGUUUGCCCUGAUGAAUGGAGUUUAUCCUCACAAAUUGGUGUUCUGAAUGUCUUAAGAACCUAAUUAAAUAACUGAUUGCC
Sapajus apella (tufted capuchin) is the source of this 1427-nucleotide RNA transcript. It is a transcript of the gene named 60S ribosomal protein L6 pseudogene, with no coding region annotated. The transcript has a single exon. NCBI's taxonomy places the organism in Eukaryota, Metazoa, Chordata, Mammalia, Primates, Cebidae. The record is from RefSeq and is a predicted model, not a curated record.